This 123-nucleotide ribosomal RNA is filed under the name Chelonoidis abingdonii (Abingdon island giant tortoise). Lineage: Eukaryota; Metazoa; Chordata; Testudines; Testudinidae. The record is from RNAcentral.
GCAGAGGAUCUUCCCCCAGACCCUGAACACGCGCAAUUUUGUCUGAUCUCAGAAGCUAAGCAGGGUCAGGCCUGGUUAGUACUCCUAUAGGAGACCUGCUGGGCGGCCCUGAUUUUCACUGGA